UUUGACGGCGAGCGGCGGACGGGUGAGUAAAAUCUGGGGAUCUGCCCNAUAGAGGGGGAUAACUACUGGAAACGGUAGCUAAUACCGCAUAAUGUCGAAAGACCAAAGUGGGGGACCUUAUGGCCUCACGCUGUUGGAUGAACCCAGAUGGGAUUAGCUAGUAGGUGUGGUAAUGGCUCACCUAGGCAACGAUCCCUAGCUGGUCUGAGAGGAUAACCAGCCACACUGNAACUGAGAUACGGUCCAGACUCCUACGGGAGGCAGCAGUGGGGAAUAUUGCACAAUGGGGGAAACCCUGAUGCAGCUAUGCCGCGUGUGUGAAGAAGGCCUUUGGGUUGUAAAGCACUUUCAGCGGGGAAGAAGCUUACAGNGCUAAUAACUCUGUAAAUUGACGCUACCCGAAGAAGAAGCACCGGCUAACUCCGUGCCAGCAGCCGCGGUAAUACGGAGGGUGCAAGCGUUAGUCGAAAUUACUGGGCGUAAAGAGUACGCAGGCAGUCUGUUAAGUCAGAUGUGAAAUCCCCAGGCUCAACCCGGGAACUGCAUCUGAAACUAGCAAGCUAGAGUCUCGUAGAAGGGGGUAGAAUUCCAGGAGUAGCGGUGAAAUGCGUAGAUAUCUGGAGGAAUACCAGUGGCGAAAGCGGCCCCCUAGACGAAGACUGACGCUCAGGUACGAAAGCGUG
Molecule: ribosomal RNA, 683 nt
Filed under: Sodalis-like symbiont of Eulachnus rileyi
Lineage: Bacteria; Pseudomonadati; Pseudomonadota; Gammaproteobacteria; Enterobacterales; Bruguierivoracaceae
Description: bacterial SSU rRNA
Rfam family: Bacterial small subunit ribosomal RNA
Source: RNAcentral